UACGUAGGGUGCGAGCGUUGUCCGGAAUUAUUGGGCGUAUAGAGCUCGUAGGCGGUCUGUCGCGUCGAUCGUGAAAACUUGGGGCUUAACCCUGAGCUUGCGGUCGAUACGGGCAUGACUGGAGUUCGGCAGGGGAGACUGGAAUUCCUGGUGUAGCGGUGAAAUGCGCAGAUAUCAGGAGGAACACCGGUGGCGAAGGCGGGUCUCUGGGCCGAUACUGACGCUGAGGGGCGAAAGCGUGGGGAGCGAACAGG
RNAcentral lists this ribosomal RNA (254 nucleotides) under uncultured bacterium. RNAcentral's name for it is "partial 16S ribosomal RNA". It matches the Rfam family "Bacterial small subunit ribosomal RNA", at positions 524 to 776 of the family's 1533-position model. The record is from RNAcentral.